This 390-nucleotide unclassified non-coding RNA is filed under the name soil metagenome. RNAcentral's name for it is "partial contains 5.8S ribosomal RNA, internal transcribed spacer 2, and large subunit ribosomal RNA". The stretch from base 1 to 122 matches the Rfam family "5.8S ribosomal RNA", at positions 35 to 154 of the family's 154-position model. The record is from RNAcentral.
GAUGAAGAACGCAGUGAAAUGCGAUACUUGGUGUGAAUUGCAGAAUCCCGCGAAUCAUCGAGUUUUUGAACGCAAGUUGCGCCCGAAGCCAUUCGGCCGAGGGCACGUCUGCCUGGGUGUCACGCAUCGUUGCCCCCCCAAACUCCGGUUCGGGCGGGGCGGAAGUUGGCCUCCCGUGCGUGCCUGCGCGCGCGGUUAGCCCAAAAGCGAGUCCUCGGCGAUGAGCGCCACGACAAUCGGUGGUUUUUUUACCCUCGUUCCUCGUCGUGCGUGCCCCGUCGCCCGAACGCGCUCUUGCAACCCUUACGCGUCGCCUCGGUGGCGCUCCCAACGCGACCCCAGGUCAGGCGGGACUACCCGCUGAGUUUAAGCAUAUCAAUAAGCGGAGGA